RNAcentral lists this ribosomal RNA (244 nucleotides) under Bacteroides fragilis. RNAcentral describes it as "partial 16S ribosomal RNA". It matches the Rfam family "Bacterial small subunit ribosomal RNA", at positions 1282 to 1533 of the family's 1533-position model. Lineage: Bacteria; Pseudomonadati; Bacteroidota; Bacteroidia; Bacteroidales; Bacteroidaceae. The record is from RNAcentral.
CCUCUCUCAGUUCGGAUCGAAGUCUGCAACCCGACUUCGUGAAGCUGGAUUCGCUAGUAAUCGCGCAUCAGCCACGGCGCGGUGAAUACGUUCCCGGGCCUUGUACACACCGCCCGUCAAGCCAUGGGAGCCGGGGGUACCUGAAGUACGUAACCGCAAGGAUCGUCCUAGGGUAAAACUGGUGACUGGGGCUAAGUCGUAACAAGGUAGCCGUACCGGAAGGUGCGGCUGGAACACCUCCUUU